UCAGUGGGUGGACAUCUGGCUUCUGAUGCAGAAGGUUAAAGUUUCAGGUACCUUUUCAGGCACUCAAAAAUCCGGAAAACAUUGCUAAUGCCAGCACAGGAGGAACAACAUACCUUUCAGGAUGUGGGUAUCACUUGUCUGGGCAGCAUCUACAUCCCAGGGGAGAAUCAAACAUUUUUCCAAGGGUCUGGUGUUCACGUGCUGGCCAGCUGAGAUAAGUACGGCAGACCUCCCUUCGCAAAACGUCAUCAAUGAACGAGCUGGAUUAUCCAACAAGUGGCAAUGGAUUGUGUUGGCUAAAUAUUUAUUCAGGGACAUCAAGAUCUAGGAAUCAAAAUAGGGUGUAGGGGAUUCAGCCCUUCGAUUAUUUAUAUGUGAGUACCGGAAUCAGCCCCA
This is a non-coding RNA of Chiloscyllium plagiosum (whitespotted bambooshark), 396 nucleotides long. Lineage: Eukaryota; Metazoa; Chordata; Chondrichthyes; Orectolobiformes; Hemiscylliidae. The record is from RefSeq and is a predicted model, not a curated record.